CUACGGGGGGCAGCAGUGGGGAAUAUUGGGCAAUGGGCGCAAGCCUGACCCAGCAACGCCGCGUGAGGGAAGAAGGUUCUCGGAUUGUAAACCUCUGUCCUUGGGGACGAAGAAAGUGACGGUACCCAAGGAGGAAGCUCCGGCUAACUACGUGCCAGCAGCCGCGGUAAUACGUAGGGAGCAAGCGUUGUCCGGAAUUACUGGGCGUAAAGGGUGCGUAGGCGGCAUAUUAAGUCAGGUGUGAAAUAUUCGGGCUCAACCCGAAGGGUGCAUUUGAAACUGGUAUGCUUGAGUGUGAGAGAGGAAAGUGGAAUUCCUAGUGUAGCGGUGAAAUGCGUAGAUAUUAGGAGGAACACCAGUGGCGAAGGCGACUUUCUGGCUCAUAACUGACGCUGAGGCACGAAAGCGUGGGUAGCAAACAGGAUUAGAUACCCUUGUAGUC
RNAcentral lists this ribosomal RNA (442 nucleotides) under uncultured bacterium. RNAcentral describes it as "partial 16S ribosomal RNA". It matches the Rfam family "Bacterial small subunit ribosomal RNA", at positions 339 to 795 of the family's 1533-position model. The record is from RNAcentral.